RNAcentral lists this ribosomal RNA (447 nucleotides) under uncultured bacterium. RNAcentral describes it as "partial 16S ribosomal RNA". It matches the Rfam family "Bacterial small subunit ribosomal RNA", at positions 29 to 523 of the family's 1533-position model. The record is from RNAcentral.
AGCGAACGCUGGCGGCAGGCUUAACACAUGCAAGUCGAACGCCCCGCAAGGGGAGUGGCAGACGGGUGAGUAACACGUGGGAACGUACCCUUUGGUUCGGAAUAACUUGGGGAAACUCAAGCUAAUACCGGAUAAGCCCUUAUGGGGAAAGGUUUACUGCCGAAGGAUCGGCCCGCGUCUGAUUAGCUAGUUGGUGCGGUAAUGGCUCACCAAGGCGACGAUCAGUAGCUGGUCUGAGAGGAUGAUCAGCCACACUGGGACUGAGACACGGCCCAGACUCCUACGGGAGGCAGCAGUGGGGAAUAUUGGACAAUGGGGGCAACCCUGAUCCAGCCAUGCCGCGUGAGUGAUGAAGGCCUUAGGGUUGUAAAGCUCUUUUACCCGGGACGAUAACGACUGUACCGGGAGAAUAAGCCCCGGCUAACUUCGUGCCAGCAGCCGCGGUAA